Molecule: ribosomal RNA, 474 nt
Filed under: uncultured archaeon
Lineage: Archaea
Description: bacterial SSU rRNA
Rfam family: Archaeal small subunit ribosomal RNA
Source: RNAcentral
UACAAUGCUGGCAACAGCGAUAAGGGAACCUCGAGUGCCAGGUUACAAAUCUGGCUGUCGAGAUGCCUAAAAAGCAUUUCAUAGCAAGGGCCGGGCAAGACCGGUGCCAGCCGCCGCGGUAACACCGGCGGCUCGAGUGGUAACCGUUAUUAUUGGGUCUAAAGGGUCUGUAGCCGGCCGGAUAAGUCUCUUGAGAAAUCUGGCAGCUUAACUGUCAGGCUUUCAGGAGAUACUGUCUGGCUCGAGGCCGGGAGAGGUGAGAGGUACUUCAGGGGUAGGGGUGAAAUCUUGUAAUCCUUGAAGGACCACCAGUGGCGAAGGCGUCUCACCAGAACGGACCUGACGGCAAGGGACGAAAGCUAGGGGCACGAACCGGAUUAGAUACCCGGGUAGUCCUAGCCGUAAACGAUACUCGCUAGGUGUCGGCCACGGUGCGACCGUUGUCGGUGCCGUAGGGAAGCCGUGAAGCGAGCC